Molecule: ribosomal RNA, 1540 nt
Filed under: Staphylococcus aureus VET0189R
Lineage: Bacteria; Bacillati; Bacillota; Bacilli; Caryophanales; Staphylococcaceae
Description: 16S ribosomal RNA
Rfam family: Bacterial small subunit ribosomal RNA
Source: RNAcentral
AGAGUUUGAUCCUGGCUCAGGAUGAACGCUGGCGGCGUGCCUAAUACAUGCAAGUCGAGCGAACGGACGAGAAGCUUGCUUCUCUGAUGUUAGCGGCGGACGGGUGAGUAACACGUGGAUAACCUACCUAUAAGACAGGGAUAACUUCGGGAAACCGGAGCUAAUACCGGAUAAUAUUUUGAACCGCAUGGUUCAAAAGUGAAAGACGGUCUUGCUGUCACUUAUAGAUGGAUCCGCGCUGCAUUAGCUAGUUGGUAAGGUAACGGCUUACCAAGGCAACGAUGCAUAGCCGACCUGAGAGGGGGAUCGGCCACACUGGAACUGAGACACGGUCCAGACUCCUACGGGAGGCAGCAGUAGGGAAUCUUCCGCAAUGGGCGAAAGCCUGACGGAGCAACGCCGCGUGAGUGAUGAAGGUCUUCGGAUCGUAAAACUCUGUUAUUAGGGAAGAACAUAUGUGUAAGUAACUGUGCACAUCUUGACGGUACCUAAUCAGAAAGCCACGGCUAACUACGUGCCAGCAGCCGCGGUAAUACGUAGGUGGCAAGCGUUAUCCGGAAUUAUUGGGCGUAAAGCGCGCGUAGGCGGUUUUUUAAGUCUGAUGUGAAAGCCCACGGCUCAACCGUGGAGGGUCAUUGGAAACUGGAAAACUUGAGUGCAGAAGAGGAAAGUGGAAUUCCAUGUGUAGCGGUGAAAUGCGCAGAGAUAUGGAGGAACACCAGUGGCGAAGGCGACUUUCUGGUCUGUAACUGACGCUGAUGUGCGAAAGCGUGGGGAUCAAACAGGAUUAGAUACCCUGGUAGUCCACGCCGUAAACGAUGAGUGCUAAGUGUUAGGGGGUUUCCGCCCCUUAGUGCUGCAGCUAACGCAUUAAGCACUCCGCCUGGGGAGUACGACCGCAAGGUUGAAACUCAAAGGAAUUGACGGGGACCCGCACAAGCGGUGGAGCAUGUGGUUUAAUUCGAAGCAACGCGAAGAACCUUACCAAAUCUUGACAUCCUUUGACAACUCUAGAGAUAGAGCCUUCCCCUUCGGGGGACAAAGUGACAGGUGGUGCAUGGUUGUCGUCAGCUCGUGUCGUGAGAUGUUGGGUUAAGUCCCGCAACGAGCGCAACCCUUAAGCUUAGUUGCCAUCAUUAAGUUGGGCACUCUAAGUUGACUGCCGGUGACAAACCGGAGGAAGGUGGGGAUGACGUCAAAUCAUCAUGCCCCUUAUGAUUUGGGCUACACACGUGCUACAAUGGACAAUACAAAGGGCAGCGAAACCGCGAGGUCAAGCAAAUCCCAUAAAGUUGUUCUCAGUUCGGAUUGUAGUCUGCAACUCGACUACAUGAAGCUGGAAUCGCUAGUAAUCGUAGAUCAGCAUGCUACGGUGAAUACGUUCCCGGGUCUUGUACACACCGCCCGUCACACCACGAGAGUUUGUAACACCCGAAGCCGGUGGAGUAACCUUUUAGGAGCUAGCCGUCGAAGGUGGGACAAAUGAUUGGGGUGAAGUCGUAACAAGGUAGCCGUAUCGGAAGGUGCGGCUGGAUCACCU